GAUGAACGCUGGCGGCGUGCCUAAUACAUGCAAGUCGAGCGAACAGACGAGGAGCUUGCUUCUCUGACGUUAGCGGCGGACGGGUGAGUAACACGUGGAUAACCUACCUAUAAGACUGGGAUAACUUCGGGAAACCGGAGCUAAUACCGGAUAAUAUUUUGAACCGCAUGGUUCAAUAGUGAAAGACGGUGUUGCUGUCACUUAUAGAUGGAUCCGCGCUGCAUUAGCUAGUUGGUAAGGUAACGGCUUACCAAGGCAACGAUGCGUAGCCGACCUGAGAGGGUGAUCGGCCACACGGGAACUGAAACACGGUCCAGACGCCUACGGGAGGCAGCAGUAGGGAAUCGUACGCAAUGGGCGAAAGCCUGACGGAGCAACGCCGCGUGAGUGAUGAAGGUCUUCGGAUCGUAAAACUCUGUUAUUAGGGAAGAACAAAUGUGUAAGUAACUGUGCACUUCUUGACGGUACCUAAUCAGAAAGCCACGGCUAACUACGUG
RNAcentral lists this ribosomal RNA (497 nucleotides) under uncultured bacterium. RNAcentral's name for it is "partial 16S ribosomal RNA". It matches the Rfam family "Bacterial small subunit ribosomal RNA", at positions 28 to 507 of the family's 1533-position model. The record is from RNAcentral.